Molecule: ribosomal RNA, 513 nt
Filed under: Pachycnema calviniana
Lineage: Eukaryota; Metazoa; Arthropoda; Insecta; Coleoptera; Scarabaeidae
Description: partial 16S large subunit ribosomal RNA
Rfam family: Bacterial large subunit ribosomal RNA
Source: RNAcentral
UUUAAGAUUUAACCUGCCCUAUGAAAAAUUAAAUGGCCGCAGUAAUUUGACUGUGCAAAGGUAGCAUAAUCAUUAGUUUUUUAAUUAAAAGCUGGAAUGAAUGGUUGGACGAGAAAGUGACUGUCUCAGUAUAAUUUAAAUUAGAAUUUUAUUUUUAAGUUAAAAAGCUUAAAUUAUAUUAAAAGACGAGAAGACCCUAUAGAGUUUAAUAUUAAUAUUAUUAUUAGUUUUAUGGUAAUUUAAUAUUAGUAUUAGUAUUAAUAUUUGAUUGGGGUGAUAGUAAAAUUAGAUUAACUUUUAUUAGUUAUUAACAUAGAUUAAUGAGUUUAGGAUCCAUUUAUUUUGAUUGAAAGAUUAAAUUACCUUAGGGAUAACAGCGUUAUUUUUUCUGAGAGUUCUUAUCGAAGAAAGAGUUUGCGACCUCGAUGUUGGAUUAAAAUUAACUUUUGGUGUAGGUGCUGAAAAGUUAGGUCUGUUCGACCUAUAAAAUUUUACAUGAUCUGAGUUCAAACC